AUGGCAGUUUAGGAGAUCACUGGAUAAUGACAGUGGCUGCCUGCUCCCAGCAAGGUGCCGGCAUUGCCAGCUGCAAAGCUGUUGGGGAGGAGCCAUUAAGCUGUUUAUGUUACAAGAGGACAAAAAAUGGGGAAGGGUUAGGGUUGAAAAGGGGGCUAAGGUAAAUUCCACUUCUGGAACGUACCUGUCAGCAGGCUGAUGCAGGAAAGUAUGAACUAAUAGUGCUCUAAAAAUGUGCUCGGUUCUCUCCGGGAUAAAAUAAUAUAUACUGUGCUAAAAGGUUAAUGUUGUUUUGAUGACUGUAAAUUACAUAUUCUGAGUAGGGUGUUCUAAACACAGGAUGUAGCCAAGACAGGUGUUUGUUUCUGAGUUGUAGAUCUCACCUGCAACCACAUGGAACAUCCUGAUUAACCACAAAGAGCAAAUUGUUACUGCUGAGCUGGGUAAAAACUCCUCCAUUUCCUUCAUUUUAAAGAUUUCCUUAACCUGUGAGUGUGAGCCAGAUGGAAAUAAGAAACAGGAAGGACAUUUGGGAAAGUCAUAAUAACGAUGAAGAUCAGGGAAAAUUUAUGAAAUAUAUAUAAUUUGAAUUUUAUAACCUAUAAAUCCUUAAUGAUAAUAUUGUUCUAUGCUUCUCAAUUUAAUAAUCUCCUAUAAAUUUUACAGUUCAUUACAAUAGAAACUAAUUAUUCUGUUCCCACAUUUGUCUUCAAGCAGAAGAUGUGGGGAAAUGAAAGCAGGCAGACACUUUAGAGGCAUAAAUUUAGAAUAUUUAAGAUUUAACAAGAAACUUCCAGCCUAUUGGAAAUGGGCAUUAUUUUAAUUCCAGUAUGUUUCUUGCUGUUUCUGUUAUCAUAAGUUUUAAAAUCAAGAAAUAGGACUUUAAAAGCAAUUUCCAAAAAUCUCUAUUAAGGAAGUAAUAAUAGUAAUAAUUUUCUUGCUUACUGGCUAAUGAUAAUAAAUGGAGAUAUCAAAGAAUUCUUUGGGAAGAGAGAAAAAGGGUGAUUAGAGUUAAUAGGGAGAAAUUGGUAGGGAAACUGGAAAUACAUUUCUCCGGAGAACCAGGUUCAUAAAUAGCAAUGGCAGGCAAAUAUUAGGGAACUGGUUCACAACCAUUCAUUUGCAAACUGUAUUACAAAGUUUUGACUUGUGAUGAGACAUCAGAUUCUUCAAUCCUGUGGUAUUUCCAGGUCAUGGAUGAUGGUAGCUCUUGCAACAGAAAAUGAAUAAGGAAAUCACCUGGAAAUGUCACUGUGGUGUCCAGCAGGAAAUAGCAGAAUGAGAGAAGCCAUUGGAGAGAAAAAGGGUAUUGAGGCUCCUGCAGUUCCAAUCCAGCUGUUCAGUAUCUCCCACUCUGUAAAAUGCACACAUUAAAAGAAUAUGAGUGGGGGAAUUCAUCAGCCUCAGACCAGCCCUGUUACUGCAGGAACCAUGGAGGGCUGUUUGUCUGCCAGGCUGAGAGCAGUCCAUGCUCUGUCAGUGCCUCUGCUGGUUGAAGCUUGGAGAGCUCAGUGCUGGUGAUGGUUGUUCCUACAAACACAUCUUACAGGAAAGCUUCUCCUUCCUCCUGGACCCUGAAGUUUUGGAUUUAGUAAGAAGAUAACUGUCCCAAGACAAACAUUCUCAUGGAUACAGCAGAGUAUUUUAAAUGGUAUAUUGCUACAGUAAGGAACGAAAGGACAACUUCAGUUUGACUCUGGUGGUCAUGUCUCCAUUCUGAAGAAAACAACCCUUGUGUAUUUUAGGCUGGAAUUCAGCACACAGAAGACCACAGCUGUGAGCAGUCCAGCAGGUUGGAGCUGGCUCUGCUGAGAGAUUAAUGCAAAUAAAUGCACUGGUUCUCCCUGGUCAAGCUUUUUACAGUUCAUCUGUUUGCACUGAAUACAAUGGUUAAAAAAAUAGACAGCUUUCUGGAUUCCUCUCCCUUCUUUCUUGUGAAAUGGAAGACACUAUCACAAGACAACCUCUAAUGGAGUCUCUUCUGAAUCCUGCCAUCAAAAGGACACUGAUUUCUGACUUCCAAAGCUCCCUCUUGGAGACUUUCUUGUAUUAAAUAAUAUUUUGAGGAAAACUAGCUUUUGAAUGUCACAGUGUUGCUUAUUAGUGGUUGGUAGGUGUCAAUGUGCUAAUAGAUACCUAGACUUCAAAAAAAAAUCAAUAAAUCUCAGCAGCAAAGAGAAAGUUUUGCUGUUUGCAUUAUUCUGGCUGCAGCACAGUGGAUCUGAGGAACCCAGGGGUGGGAGAGAGAAAUGAUGCUUUCAAUAAGGAAUACUAGUGGGAGAAAAGGGAGGGACAGGAAUAGUGUCUGCAAAGAAAAUAUAACAAGAAGAGAGCUUUUAGCUCAGCCAGGAUCACACAGAACAUGGAAAGGAUGCAAAGGCAGACCACAGAACUGAUGAAAGCAAAAAUUCUUUCAGUUCUUCUUAGUGAACUGUAAAAGAUGUAUUGGAACCAGAAAGCCAUUGAAAAGUCAUUUCAUUGACAUCCCAAAGGAGAAGACCCAUCUUGAACAGCUGCAAAGUAGAUUACACCAACACAGGAAAAGAGUUUUAGUAAUUUAUAUACAUUAUCCUACACCCAGAUUAUAAGCAUUUGAAUGUGCUGACCACAAAGCAAACCCAUCAAAUAUUUAAAGGAAGAUGCCAGCAAGAAAUGAGGUUUAUAGCGGACCUUGAGUGUGAAUAAGUUUCCUGGUCAUCCCAAAGGUGUUGAUACAAAGGCUGUUUUCCAGUUGUGGCUUGUCCCGUUACACUCAAUUUUAACAACCUGACAUGUACCCAAGACCCCUCUUGUCUUCAGGCACACCAGAAAGAAGGACUUUCUUCAACCUGAAUUCCUCAAUCAUGCAGAUUGAUGUCUUACUUGCACACGAGGUGUCACUACUGAUUUGCACGUGCUCCCCUGAGAUGCAGGUGGUGCUCAUGGUGCUGCUCCUGGGUCCUCCCCUACCCUGGAACAACUGGAGUGCUUAGGGGCACCCAGCUUGUGUGUUGUCACAGAUAUUAAUGAACACACCUUGACUUCCUGCUGAUUUCUUCAUUUCUGCAUAUUCAGUUUCACAAACACAACAAGGUAAGAUUUUUAAUCUCUCACCUCAAGUGACCUCUUGGGCAGUUCAGAGUGAAUGUGGUGCUCAUGAAGUGUAACAGGCUGGGUUGUGGAACGAUGGAUGCUGCUGAGACUGUGCCACUCCAGUUCCUAAGAGUGGAAUAAUCUAUGGUGAGAUAAAUCAAGUGGAAAAAUAACCUUCAACAAUGACUCACUUAGAACAUUUCAGAAAAACACUUAAAAUUUUACAGUGCUGGAUAAGUAGAGAAUCAAUAUGAUCCUUACCUAAUCUGUACAGCACUCUUGUGUGUGCAAGCAUGUGUAGUAUUUUGAACACCACAAAGUCCUAGUGUAAAUUUACAAGGCACUCACUUUUGUUCUUGUUGUCUAUUGCAAUUAUUUCUUUCAUUUGAAAAACAAACAGAUAAUUUUGGGGUUGGUUCCCCAGACUGAUAUUGUGUUUUUAGGCCUCUAACAGAGGAUAAAAGCAGAAAAUGAGCUUCAGAAUUUGCAGAGGUUGUUUGGAAAAGACUAAGAUGCAGCUCAGAGGGAAGAGUUAAAAGGAUUCUUUGUGGGUAGUGCCACAGGUGAAAUAACCUUUGACCUGGGGAAUUUUUAGUGAAUUUAAUUUUUUGGCAGUUAAUACCAGCUUCUUGGCAGUAAUCUGGAUAUUAGAGGGAAAAAAAAAUCCUAAACGUUUAAAUAAGCAACUUUCUUCCUCCUUUCUCAGGCUCAGUUUAACCCAACCACCCAUCCUCUCUCUUCCUAAACCCAUCCUUCUGUCCCACCUGAUGUGGGCUGCCCAUGGUCUUGGCUUCUCAGCAGCUCCCUGUUUCAGCUUAAUCCUAAAUUCCACCAAUUCCAGUUGUGCAGCAAACUUUAAACUGCUGGAGAAACUAGAUAGGUGAGGGCAGAGCUGGCAAGAGGCUCAGCCAUCCUGCCUGACAAAGUUUUAAUUGUUCAGUCUAAGCAAGGAGCAGGGGAGCGUGAUGGAACUCCAAGUGUCUCCAAAUUGCUUCAAAGAGAAAGGGAAUAAUUUGUUUUCCUUUGCUGCUGGGGACAGGAUAAAGAAUAAUGGAAUUAAAUGGCAGCAACGCAGAUUUAGGCCUGCCAUCAGGAAAAAAAUCCCAGUUGUAAAAAUAGUUGUGCUGUAGAAUAUAUUGAUUGGUGCAAUCCUAGAGUCUCUGUCACUGCUGCUCUUAAAAGCAGACUAAACAAGCAUUUUCCAGGGAUAAUUUAAGCAGAGGAGGUCCUGUGAUGCCUUCUGAAGAUGAAUUAAUUCAGUUCUCCAGGUCCACCUUUCUGUUCUGUGUGGAAGCUGAUUCCAAUCAUGAAAUAGAUGGGAUUUUGCUUUUAACUCAGUUGCUUUAGGACAACAGUCAAGUGAUAUCUCCCUCCUGUCCACUACAAGGAUGAAGACAGAACAGAGACAGGUUAAUCUUUUUUUAUUUCCAGGAGUUGUUCUCUGUCUAAGAAAGGUUUUUCAUUGCAGAAAGAGAUGUUGCUUUUGCUAUCUAGUUCCUGGCUGCAGACUACAAAUUACAGCACUUUAUUAUCUUUGUAUGUUUUUCCUUCUGUUUUAAUCACAAGUGAAAUAAAUUUGUUGAAGAUGCUGAACUACAAGGUUGACACUCUGUGCCUGUGCAUGCACAUAAAUGCUCUGAUAACCCAAGGAGAAUAAACCCUCACACUUAAUGUACUGAGUUCAUCAGAAUAAAUGGCUAAUGCAUUAAAAAGGAAACUUUACAAUACGUUAAAAAUGAAACUUUACAAUCUGGAGUUACUUAAUUUAUAAAAUAUAAUGUCAUAAGGUGGAUUUUUUUUUUUUAAUUAUUUGAUGCUAGCUCAAGGUAGCAAUCAUGCAUUCUCUAACAUAUGCCAGUGCAGCAUGUAAAAAGAAUGCCCCUUUAAAAAUAGCAGACCAUACUGAGCCUUCAAAAUGUCACUACUUUUUACCACUAUCACUUGCUUAUGGCAAUCUUUUGACAAAUUUAUUGGAACAGAUAGUUCAUUCAGACAAUGUUUUAAGAGAGAAAUUGCAUGUAAUUUUUGUUAAUUAAGGAGGAGCCUCUCCUAAGGAGAAAUCAUGGCAGAUUGAGUAACUUUUAGUUUAGAACAUGAUUAUUCCAUUUGUACUCUUGGAUGAUGCCCUCUUCUGGCACAGGCAUUUUGCAUCACUGUCACUGUCUCAAAGGUGUUGCUGUCUGCAUCAGCUUGUCUGAAUUCAACUUGAUUUUUACCUUGAUUACUCAGUCACCACAUAUUUGAUAUUUCAACCCAGAAAACAUUGAGGGUUGAAAGUAUGGCAUCAUUUUUCCAAAUGUUUUCAGGCAGUAGAGUUAAUAGAACUAAGGGUAUUUUUUGAGGACAGAACUAGUCUUAAAUGGUUGGAAUAGAAAAAAAUUCAUCUUCUGAAAAUGUUCACUCUUAUUGGUGUUUGGGCUUAUCUGUGAUUUCUGGACUUUAUUGGUGGCAUAAAUAGAAAAAAAUUAUUUAACAUAAUGCUCUCUGCUAUUUGAUUUCAUUUCUUAUGAAUAUUUGGGCAUUUUCACAAAAAUACUCUCUCUUAAUAUCUAGCUGAACUCAGCUAUAUGCCAUGCCAGUAAUAUCAGUUGUCUGGGCUUGCUGAUUAGAAUUUUGCAUCACUCAUUAAAAUUUGUACUGGAAUUUGUGUUUGGAUGUAAUAGAUUUGCUUGUAGCAGGACAGGAUAUAGGAAUUACACCAGGAAACAGCUGGGAAGCAUCACAAAUGACAAGUGGUACUAUAUGAAUUUUCUAAAAAAUAUUAUUAAAAUCUUCUUAGACUUGCUUUAUCUACAAUGUUUUCUUUUAAGGCCACCUGAUGAUUAAAAAUGAUGACAAAUUUUAUUUUCAGUGCUGUGCAUGAAAACAUUUUUUUAUCCACUGUAGAUUUCAGUUAUUGCAUCUAUACGCAAAUAAACCCCCAUUUUUUUAGCUACACAAGCCUGCCAGUUUCAAACAAGAAAAUCCUCAUCUCCACCUCCACAUGAUUAUAUUAAGUAGAGGAUUAUGUAUAUAAUGCAUGCACAAAAUUGUUCUCGUUUUACUUUCAUGCUCUCUGUGCCAAAUUCAAUUUGGGUUUAUUAACUACAGUCUGAUUUGAUAGUGGUCUCCGGACCAGGAAAAUAUUUUUGGUGAAAUUUUAACAGUUACAUCACAUUAUGUAACAAAUGUCUUGUGUCAUGUACUAUUAUUUCAAUUUCAGGAUGUUUGACAUGAUGUAAUGUGAUCUGAGAUAUAGUGAGUGAUGUAGCAUAAUGCUUGGUGCAGUGUGCCAGAAACAUGUUUAAUGUUCCUGAAUGUUCUUUAUCUCUAUGUCCACAUUACUGAUCUGGAGGGGUGAGCAGCUAAAAGUGCAGGUAUGGAAAACACAGCCAAAAUAUCAUGGGGAAAGUCCUGUGCAGGAAUCUCUGUAAUGAGUUGCUUCAUUACCUUUGGAUCAGACCUUCAAUCUUUGCAUUUCUCUGGCAUGAGACCUACCUGAGAGCAGGCAGCUGCUUUACCAGGAAAGCUGAAUGUGUUCCCUGCAAGGAUUGCUUGAGAUACACCAAACAUUGAAUUUAUGCUGUCUCCUGUUGAUACUCAGCCCUUCCUUAAAAUUCAGAGCAAGCUCUGUCAUGCUGUUCAUUUUAUGUGCAAAUGUUUCUUGCUAGGUGAAAACUGGAAUUUCACAUCCCGAACUCUGACUGCCAGGAAGUAUUAGGUCAAUGCAUCUGCUCACUGUCAAAAUCUCAAAAGCAGUCAAGGCCUAAGUUUAAAAUCUCAGUUUGUUGUGUUCCACUCACUCCUCCAAGUGUCUUUAAGCAAAUGAUUUUACAAACAUUAUCUUUCCCCAGUUGCUUUGUCAGCCAUGUAACAUCCCAGGUUCUUAAUGUCUUUUCCAGAGACUUUAAUUCUUUCAGACUGCCUGUUUACUGAUGGCCGUUCUCUUCUUACCUACUUGUUUUCAGAGGAGAAAUUAAAAUGUUAAACAAUAUCUAUUUGCAAAAUCUUCCCUUAAUAGCUGGGUUCACUGGUGACAGCCAGGAAGCUGUCACUCUUUCUUCUUGUCUUAGAAUGCAGAUCUAGGGAGAGUAACCAGGGGAACAAGGAAUUUUCUGUACUUGUAAGCUCCACAAAUGCAUGCUGGAGGCAUUGCAGGCUCCCUGUUAUCAGUAUAUCACUUGAGCUCUGUGCAAACAGAAUAUAAAAAUAAUGCAUUUAAAAAGGAAAAAGAAGGCAGGGUAUGCAUUAUGUAAAUGCACUAAAGAGCCCUCAGAAUGAUUUGCAUGAAGUAAUGUGGAAACUGAGAGUCUAAUAGUUAUGGAGACCUUUCCCUGGCUUUUUUGGUGGUUGUUUGUGCUUAGUAAAGCAAUGCACAUAUCAAAUAGAUGUGAAACUGCUUGCAGUGGUCAGAAAUUUCCUGCUGUGUGCAAAGGUUCAGUUCACAGCUGUGUGGGGUAGGCACAAAGCUGGUGUUGAAAAGUGAAGAAAACUUGUGAUUUAUGUAACAUGCUUUGAAAAUAGGCAAAGUCAUGCUAGGCAGUGCUGGGGUUGUGAAGAGAUUAUGCUUGAGCAUUAUUGCACAGGAAAAGAGAGUGAAGCCAGUGCUUUGUGAUUCUUGGUUGUCAAUCCAUACUUAGUCCAAAAAGAAAGAAAGAAAGAAAGCCUUUGGAUUUCUGCUUUCAGUUAUAUAAUAGCUUGGGAAGGCUUUUUUGUAUGUAUUUCUGUAUCUUCUUCGUGGGUCUCCCUGAGUUAUUGAAGUCAGGCAAGUUUACAUUUACCUCGUCUUUUA
Pseudopipra pipra is the source of this 7843-nucleotide long non-coding RNA. RefSeq lists it as uncharacterized. The record is from RefSeq and is a predicted model, not a curated record. NCBI's taxonomy places the organism in Eukaryota, Metazoa, Chordata, Aves, Passeriformes, Pipridae. The transcript has 11 exons.